This 497-nucleotide ribosomal RNA is filed under the name uncultured bacterium. Its description in RNAcentral is "partial 16S ribosomal RNA". It matches the Rfam family "Bacterial small subunit ribosomal RNA", at positions 28 to 507 of the family's 1533-position model. The record is from RNAcentral.
GAUGAACGCUGGCGGCGUGCCUAAUACAUGCAAGUCGAGCGAACAGACGAGGAGCUUGCUCCUCUGACGUUAGCGGCGGACGGGUGAGUAACACGUGGAUAACCUACCUAUAAGACUGGGAUAACUUCGGGAAACCGGAGCUAAUACCGGAUAAUAUAUUGAACCGCAUGGUUCAAUAGUGAAAGACGGUUUUGCUGUCACUUAUAGAUGGAUCCGCGCCGCAUUAGCUAGUUGGUAAGGUAACGGCUUACCAAGGCAACGAUGCGUAGCCGACCUGAGAGGGUGAUCGGCCACACUGGAACUGGGACACGGUCCAGACUCCUACGGGAGGCAGCAGUAGGGAAUCUUCCGCAAUGGGCGAAAGCCUGACGGAGCAACGCCGCGUGAGUGAUGAAGGUCUUCGGAUCGUAAAACUCUGUUAUUAGGGAAGAACAAAUGUGUAAGUAACUAUGCACGUCUUGACGGUACCUAAUCAGAAAGCCACGGCCAACUACGUG